This 421-nucleotide ribosomal RNA is filed under the name uncultured microorganism. RNAcentral describes it as "bacterial SSU rRNA". It matches the Rfam family "Bacterial small subunit ribosomal RNA", at positions 9 to 419 of the family's 1533-position model. The record is from RNAcentral.
GAGUUUGAUCUUGGCUCAGGACGAACGCUGGCGGCGUGCCUAAUACAUGCAAGUCGAGCGAACGGACGAGAAGCUUGCUUCUCUGAUGUUAGCGGCGGACGGGUGAGUAACACGUGGAUAACCUACCUAUAAGACUGGGAUAACUUCGGGAAACCGGAGCUAAUACCGGAUAAUAUUUUGAACCGCAUGGUUCAAAAGUGAAAGACGGUCUUGCUGUCACUUAUAGAUGGAUCCGCGCUGCAUUAGCUAGUUGGUAAGGUAACGGCUUACCAAGGCAACGAUGCAUAGCCGACCUGAGAGGGUGAUCGGCCACACUGGAACUGAGACACGGUCCAGACUCCUUACGGGAGGCAGCAGUAGGGAAUCUUCCGCAAUGGGCAAAGCCUGACGGAGCAACGCCGCGUGAGUGAUGAAGGUCUUC